UGGGACUAUUGCUUAUAGGUUAAAGCCCUCUGCUUAUAACGGAGUGAACCGAGUUCGAGUCUCGGUAGUCCUACCA
RNAcentral lists this transfer RNA (76 nucleotides) under Synechococcus phage S-PM2. RNAcentral describes it as "tRNA17-Ile;". It matches the Rfam family "tRNA". From Rfam's summary of the family: Transfer RNA (tRNA) molecules are approximately 80 nucleotides in length. The record is from RNAcentral. Lineage: Duplodnaviria; Heunggongvirae; Uroviricota; Caudoviricetes; Pantevenvirales; Kyanoviridae.